This 85-nucleotide transfer RNA is filed under the name Chlamydia trachomatis. Its description in RNAcentral is "tRNA-Ser". It matches the Rfam family "tRNA". Rfam says of the family: Transfer RNA (tRNA) molecules are approximately 80 nucleotides in length. Their secondary structure includes four short double-helical elements and three loops (D, anti-codon, and T loops). Further hydrogen bonds mediate the characteristic L-shaped molecular structure. tRNAs have two regions of fundamental functional importance: the anti-codon, which is responsible for specific mRNA codon recognition, and the 3' end, to which the tRNAs corresponding amino acid is attached (by aminoacyl-tRNA synthetases). tRNAs cope with the degeneracy of the genetic code in two manners: having more than one tRNA (with a specific anti-codon) for a particular amino acid; and 'wobble' base-pairing, i.e. permitting non-standard base-pairing at the 3rd anti-codon position. Lineage: Bacteria; Pseudomonadati; Chlamydiota; Chlamydiia; Chlamydiales; Chlamydiaceae. The record is from RNAcentral.
GGAAGAAUGGCAGAGCGGUUUAAUGCACCUGUCUUGAAAACCGUCGCACUGAGAGGUGCCGGGGGUUCGAAUCCCUCUCUCUCCG